Molecule: ribosomal RNA, 539 nt
Filed under: Vibrio harveyi
Lineage: Bacteria; Pseudomonadati; Pseudomonadota; Gammaproteobacteria; Vibrionales; Vibrionaceae
Description: bacterial SSU rRNA
Rfam family: Bacterial small subunit ribosomal RNA
Source: RNAcentral
AGAGUUUGAUCCUGGCUCAGAUUGAACGCUGGCGGCAGGCCUAACACAUGCAAGUCGAGCGGAAACGAGUUAUCUGAACCUUCGGGGAACGAUAACGGCGUCGAGCGGCGGACGGGUGAGUAAUGCCUAGGAAAUUGCCCUGAUGUGGGGGAUAACCAUUGGAAACGAUGGCUAAUACCGCAUAAUGCCUACGGGCCAAAGAGGGGGACCUUCGGGCCUCUCGCGUCAGGAUAUGCCUAGGUGGGAUUAGCUAGUUGGUGAGGUAAUGGCUCACCAAGGCGACGAUCCCUAGCUGGUCUGAGAGGAUGAUCAGCCACACUGGAACUGAGACACGGUCCAGACUCCUACGGGAGGCAGCAGUGGGGAAUAUUGCACAAUGGGCGCAAGCCUGAUGCAGCCAUGCCGCGUGUGUGAAGAAGGCCUUCGGGUUGUAAAGCACUUUCAGUCGUGAGGAAGGUAGUGUAGUUAAUAGCUGCAUUAUUUGACGUUAGCGACAGAAGAAGCACCGGCUAACUCCGUGCCAGCAGCCGCGGUAAUAC